GAUGAAGAACGUAGCGAAAUGCGAUAAGUAGUGUGAAUUGCAGAAUUCAGUGAAUCAUCGAAUCUUUGAACGCACAUUGCGCCCCUUGGUAUUCCAUGGGGCAUGCCUGUUCGAGCGUCAUUUGUACCUUCAAGCUUUGCUUGGUGUUGGGUCUUUGUCUCGCCUUUGCGUGUAGACUCGCCUUAAAAUAAUUGGCAGCCGGCGUAUUGAUUUCGGAGCGCAGUACAUCUCGCGCUUUGCACUCAUAACGACAGCGUCCAAAAGUACAUUUUACACUCUUGACCUCGGAUCAGGUAGGGAUACCCGCUGAACUUAAGCAUAUCAAUAAGCGGAGGA
RNAcentral lists this unclassified non-coding RNA (336 nucleotides) under soil metagenome. Its description in RNAcentral is "partial contains 5.8S ribosomal RNA, internal transcribed spacer 2, and large subunit ribosomal RNA". The stretch from base 1 to 120 matches the Rfam family "5.8S ribosomal RNA", at positions 35 to 154 of the family's 154-position model. The record is from RNAcentral.